AUUGAACGCUGGCGGCAUGCCUUACACAUGCAAGUCGAACGGCAGCACGGGAGCAAUCCUGGUGGCGAGUGGCGAACGGGUGAGUAAUAUAUCGGAACGUGCCCAGUCGUGGGGGAUAACGUAGCGAAAGCUACGCUAAUACCGCAUACGAUCUAUGGAUGAAAGCGGGGGAUCGCAAGACCUCGCGCGAUUGGAGCGGCCGAUAUCAGAUUAGGUAGUUGGUGAGGUAAAGGCUCACCAAGCCGACGAUCUGUAGCUGGUCUGAGAGGACGACCAGCCACACUGGGACUGAGACACGGCCCA
RNAcentral lists this ribosomal RNA (303 nucleotides) under uncultured bacterium. RNAcentral describes it as "bacterial SSU rRNA". It matches the Rfam family "Bacterial small subunit ribosomal RNA", at positions 30 to 333 of the family's 1533-position model. The record is from RNAcentral.